GGUUUUUAGGCAUUAUUAAAAAUCUGUUCUGCUCAAUGUAUUUAAAUAGCCGCGGUAUUUUGACUGUGCAAAGGUAGCAUAAUAAUUAGUCUUAUAAUUUAAGACUGGAAUGAAAGAAUAUACUAAACAUUUGAGUUUCAAAUGUAAUUCAAGAAUUUUAUUUUUUAGUAAGAAAGCUAAAAUAAAACUAAAAGACAAGAAGACCCUAUAAAUCUUAACAUAUAAUGGAGUAGGAUUUUAUUUUAUGUUUUACUGGGGCGGUAGCUGAAGAAAACGUUCUUAAAAUUCUUAGAAAGUUUUUAUAUCUGAAAUUUUCAAAAGUAAAAUAAGAUACUUUAGGGAUAACAGCAUAAUUUAUUUAGAGAGUUCUUAUUGACAAAUAAGAUUGUGACCUCGAUGUUGAAUUAAAUAACCUUUAUAGUGCAGAAGCUAUAUUAAGGAGGUCUGUUCGACCUUUAAUGAUUUCCA
RNAcentral lists this ribosomal RNA (468 nucleotides) under Isometrus maculatus. RNAcentral's name for it is "partial 16S ribosomal RNA". It matches the Rfam family "Archaeal large subunit ribosomal RNA", at positions 1921 to 2669 of the family's 2987-position model. Lineage: Eukaryota; Metazoa; Arthropoda; Arachnida; Scorpiones; Buthidae. The record is from RNAcentral.